CGGCAGCAGUGGGGAGGUAGGCACCAUUGACCUCUCGUGGCCUGACCCGCUGAAGGUGGCAGUAUCUUGUGUUGACUUACGGUGUGGAAACUGUCCUCACCAUAUACCCCUGCAGGUAGAAGGGCACUCGAAAGAUCAUCCUGUUCUGUCCUGUGUACUCAGAACCUGUCCUGGUCAGUUUCUUGUCUCUACCUGAAGGCUGAUGGUCUUUAAGUUCCAAUUUCCCUCUCCUGGUGGGCUGUGUCCAGACAGCUUUCGCUCACAGAGCAGACGUUCUCCAGGUGAGCGUCACCCCACUUCCUGGGUCGGUUCUUUGAGAGGCCACGCCUGGCUACAUGCUGUAUCUACCUGGCUACACAUAUCAGGACCGCUUCCCAGCCAGCCUCACAUCUUGCCUGAAUUCCUGUGCUAGCUGGUGUCCCUGCUUCUACCCUUGUCCCAGAUAAUUCACUUUCCGUCUAUACAAACUUUUGAAAGCGGGAGUCAGAUCAUAUCAUGCACUUACUUAAAAUCCUCCAAAGGGUUACAGCAGAUCAAGUCAAAUCAAGUCAAAUCACACCCAGAUUUCUUAAGGUAUGUUACGGGUUGAACUGUGUCCUCCCCAAAUGAUGUUGAAGUCCUAACUUAUUUGGAGGACUUAUUUGGAAUCCACAUCUUUGCACGUGAUCAAGAUGUACUUAGUAGGGUAGGGCCAUAGUCCAAUAUGACCGCUGUCCUUUUAAAAGGGAAAUUUGGCUAAGAGACAGACAUGCACGGAGGGAAGACAGAAUGAACACACAGGGAGAAUUGCAUCAACAAGCCAAGGGAUGCCUGAGGCCACCAGAAGCAGGAGAAAGGCCUGGAACGGUUUCUCCCUCACAGCCCCCAGAAGGAACCAAACCCUGCUGACACCUUGAUCUUGACUUGCAGCCUCCAGAACCGUGGGAGAAUAACUUCCCGUUCUUUAAACAGGAAAUUAAUACACCGGAUGGCAAAGCCCUUGGAGUAUUCUUACUCCCGACCCACUGUGCAUUAAUGCUUCUCGAUUGGGGCAGCACGGGGGGAGGGGUUUUUGGUAGCUAGGACCAGGGGCUUUACUGGCAUUUAAUGGGCAGCGCGGCCAGGGAUGCUAGAAAUCCCUAAAUGCAGGAAAGAAUCCCACACAAUAUUGCCACUCAAAGCCUCGCAGAGAAUAACUGCAACACGCAGGCUGUCAUUCAAUUCUGUAAACCUUUCCCCUUUCCCAACAGCUCAGGGCCUUUGUACGAGCCGUUCCCUCUGCCUGGAAGGCUCCCUACCUGCUCUCCGUGUGGUUUAGAUCUUGACUUAGAUGCGAUCUUCUCAGAUAGACCCUCCAGACUGCAAACUAUCCACUUGUCCACUCAAUUUCAUCAGUCUUUGAAAAAGCAUUGCAUUGACAGCAUUAUCACUAUUUGACUUUUUUAGAAAACCGAUGAGAUUAUUUGUCUCCUCCCACUAGAAUAUAAGCUUCCUGACAACAAGGACUGUGUUUUUAUGCCCAGGAUCUACAGCAGAGCCUGGCACGUAGAUGGUGCUCACGUAUAAAUGUUGGUUGAAUGAAUCAAUCAUGAGCCCUGAAGCUGGAGAUCCAUGAAAGCCUGGGGGUCAGGGGAGGGGAAGGAAGAGAUGGGGGAAAAAAUAGGGUGGGAUAGAGGGUGGGCUUGGUAAAGUGUGGGGGGAGAGGGGAGAAGGCGUUGGUAGGGUAGAGAAUUUAACAGCAGCCAGACUUUCCAGAAAGUUCUCAGGCCAUGGAACAAGAUUGCACAGAUUCCUGGAAGAGCCUUCGGUGGAACAGCCUUGCUUCUUCAUACAGGAAGGAAUAGGCUUGUGGAGUUCAUUAUCCCCAGAAUGGUGGAGCCUGGAAAACAGAACCAGCUCCUGUAUGGUUUAAGAGGAACUCACAGGUGACGGCUGACAUGUUGGCUUUUGAUGGGCUAUUGGGGUAAUUGGGAGCCAGGUGGCAAAAACCCAGCUACAGAGUUGACAUCGAGAAGGACAAGCCCACCGUCCAUGGAAUACCCUUUCAUGUCUCUGUGAGAGCCAGGCCUGGGCUGCAGGGGGCCUAGACUUCCCCAGUAUGGCCAUCGUUGGUUUUUAGAGGCUUGUCUCUUCCUUGAAAAGAUAUACGAUAUUCAACGAGCUUCUACAAGGACCUUGAAAUGGAGUCAUUUCAAAGGACAUCCAGUCAUGAAAACACUGUUAUGUUUUUCAAGCCAGUUGCAGCCUUUACUUUUCCCUUAGAAGUCCUCUGUUUUACUUAGUUUGCUUUAUAUAAAGUUUCAUUUUCCAUCUUGUUGCACACUCAGAACUUUGGAGGCAAGAGACACGUUCUCAACAGGGCGAGAGAUGGCCUGCGUUGUAACUCUAUCUCUGCCGCUAAUUUGCUGGGUGACCUCCAGUGUUUUACUUAACCUUGGAAGGGCCUCAAUUAUUCUAUAGAAAAUUCGACGGAAUACAUUACACCCCAGGGGACCGGUGUGGUGAAAGAGUGCAAUAAUAUAUGUGAAAGCACAUUGAGGAACUUUCUGUCUUGCCUUCCUUUUCCUUCAUUUUGUUAUUUCAACUCUUGCCCGAGACCCUUCCCUCCCAGGUGGCCCCUCACCUUUCUUACCACCUUUCCUUCACACAGACUUCCCAAACUUCAGUCAAUCAUGUCCCCAAUUCACAAUUUGUGAUAUGUUUGAGUACCAAUCGCAUUAUUAUUUGCUGAAUAUUGUCUUUAAGUCGGCUGGCUCACUUUUUAAUUUAAAACGGUUCACUUGGAAAGGAAAAAAUGGGGGCACUAGGGUGGCUCAGUCAGUUGAGUGUCUGGCUCUUGAUUUCGGCUCAGGUCGUGAUCUCAUGGGUUCGUGAGAUUGAGCCCCACGUGGGGCUCUGCACUAACAGUGCAGAGCCUCCUUGGGGUUCUCUCUCUCUCUCUCUCUCUCUCUCGCCCUCUGCCCCUUCCCCACUCAUGAUCACACACACUCUCUCUCUCAAAAUAAAUAAAUAGCCUUUUUCAUUAAAAAAAAAAGAAAAGGCAAAAAUGUGCAUCUGUAUAUAUAACGACAACCGGACCAUAAGUUUUGUCGAGCAUAUUGUCUCCAACACACGUUGUAUCAGUACAUGUUCAUUACAGUUUAAAGAAUAAAAACAUUCGCGGAGUCCUGGCUUAAGUACCCCUCCUCAGUCACACCUUCUCCAGUGCACCCCCACUCCGACUAAGUCGGUCCCCCUGUCACAUACACUUGUUUCCUCUUCUGUGACACUCUUUUCUCCCACAGGUGAUCACCACCUCACAUGUGCCUCCUCUGCUAGACUGUAAGCUCCAUGUGGGCAGGAGCUGUGCUUCCACAUCUAGGCUGUAGCAUCAUGCCUGGCGCAUAAAAGGUAUUCAGAAACAUGUUGUGCAAUUAGAUAAAAAGUUCACCUAUGUACUGACCUAAGAGUGUGUCAAGACUGACUAGCGGAAAACUGCAAUGCACGGCAUGUUCUUUCUUCCAUCCCUCUGCUUUCCAAUCUGGGGACACUAGGGGUACUUGUAAGCAGCCUGGUCAUAGCUCUGGGAUACGUAGUUAGGAGUCUAGACACUUCCUCUAUUGGUCCAAGUUUUAAGAGUUGAUAUGAGCAGGGUAAAGAGCUUAGGGCUAUGGGAUUCUCAAAGCUAUGAGUUCUUGGAAUGUGUAAGUAACGGGUAAUUGGCAACUUUUCCAGCCCAACAGACUUCUUCCCAUAUAAAGUAUAUUUCCACAGAGAGUGUUUUGUUGUUGUUGAUCAUGCCGGGGCAGGACUUAAAUCUCCACAGAAACCCCAGAGGAGGCCCUAAACCUUAUUUGUACCUGUUGUUCCCUUGACCUCCCACAUCUGGUUCUGUUCUAAAUUUCCACAAGUUUCCAAACGUCUGAGCAAGAGAUCAUGGCAGACAUUGUAGAUGUCUUGGCAAGUGUCUGGUUCUCCAUGGGUACUGAGUCCUUGACAGAGGUUUUCUAGAAAAAUGAUGUGCUCCUUAUCUAUUUGCUAAUUCCUUCCACAUAUCACAAGACUUUUCUGUAAAUUCCCAUCAGUCUUGACAAAGUUAUCUUGUAGACUUAUGUAGUGAUUUUGAUGGCUGCACAGAGCUGUUUGUCUUGUUCAGAACGAAAUUAAUAACACCACGAUGGCACCUACUUUAGCACCAAACUUCUUAAACUCUCCUAAUAUACUAAUCAGCAUGUCAGGGAAAUAUUUUUUUUCUGGAUAAAGACAAGCCUGGUGAAAUGGAUUAGACAUUCACACGGCAUUGCAUAAUUCAGCAUGCCAGGGCGGUGCAUACGAUUUGCAUUAAUAGCCAGCUCUGGAAGCUGCUGCUCAUAGGUUUCUCUCAUUAGGUCGAAUAUCGAAGAUUCCAGACUGUCAAUCAAUUACAGUAAUUUCCUUUUCCAUAUUUAUUCCAUCACUAUCAUUGACAGCUACCAUUAAGUGACAUUAAUACAAUGCAAUAUCAUCUCGCAUUUCUACAGAGCGUCUCAGGGUGCCUAACGGUUCCACUCCAGCCAAGAAAUCACAUUACCAAGGACAAAGUACCCUCAUUCUCGAGGUGGAAAAUAGGCUGCCAACUCUUGGAACCAGUGGGAGUUGCCCAGAAUCUCUGGAGAUGCUCCUGACUUCCGGGCAAGGGGGUUUAUUUUUUGUUGUCUGAAAAUACCCGAGGCUGGGUCUCGGGCGAGUGGGGCGGCUUAGUGGGUAGUGAUGACUUUCCAGGGACCCCACUCACCUACAUCCCCUGCCUCUUCUCACCCUUGAUUUAGGACGUGUUUACAGGGCAGAGGGGGCCCUUGUGGAAGAAUGAGGUUCUUCCUUAGACGGGCUGCAGUUACCAUAUGCUACUCUCUUGCAGGGCUUUCUUCCUCCAUACCCGCCCCCCCCCCGCCCCGCCCAACCAACGACAAUACCAUCGGCACUUUGACUCAGAAUGCAACAAAGCCCUCCUUUGCCAGACAAAUUAUUCAUAUAUGCUGAGAUGCCAGCGUUGGUAUAUCCUCCCUUCUCCUUCUGUCGUUUCUGUAGUCAGUGAUAAUCAGGAUUGUGCUACACAGAAGCCAUCUCUGUUGCCCAAGUGUCACCAACUGAAUCUACGGAAUAUUCCUUUGCUCGGUUUUGGGUGACACCCCAGGAGGGCUUCCAGAUAAAUUAUAGAAUGCCCAAGUUAUAUUUGAAUUUCAGAUACACGAUAAUUUUUUUUAGUAUAAAUAUGCUCCAAAUACCGUGUAGAACGUGCAAAGAUGUUCAUCAUUUCUCUGAAAUGCAAAUUUAACUGAGCAUCCUGUUUUGUUUUGUUUUGUUUUGUUUUGUUUCGUUUCGUUUCCAAAUCUGGCAACCCUACCCAUCAGGUGAGUCAAAGGCUUCAGAACCAAGCCAAUCAAGCUACUGAAAUCCUAGGAGAAGUCAAAUCAAGACAGUACAUCUACAUUGAGCUGAAGUAUUUGCAAAGUGCCGUGCUCAUAGCUGUGGGAGACGCAACACCGUGUCAGAUCUGGCGAGAAAAUAGAACAGGAGAGGAAUGGCCACAGGCCAGAGAGAGACUACGGUACGAGUGUAAAAAGUUUGGCUCAAGAACUAUCGAAAAGCAAAAUAGUAGGAAGGAUGUUUCUAGUGGUUCUCUUCAUCCAUAACCUUUUGUGAUGGCUUCUUGCAAAGUGCGGCUUCUGCUCCACAGCUCGGGAGGAGGUUGGCGAGACCGGAGAAGAACAUUCUCUGACACGCAAGGAGGCUUGUGGGCACAGCACCUGCCUUAGUCUUUUAUUGCUGAGGUAAAGCAAACAUCAACUUGAUUGAUGAUCUGGGAGAGCCUGGGGGAAACAAUCGAUAGGUAUUUGUGGACUGGAUGACUGACAGAUUUUUGAGUAGGGAGUGCAUGAUGAAAGGUAUUGUACCAAGACUAUUUUGGAGGUGUUGUGUGGGAGAACAGAGGGACUAAGGCCCCUCUGAUAAGUGGGGGGGGGGGGGGGGAAUCAGCCAUCUGCUCUGAUGGGCCGGUCGUGCCUAAGCAUCCACAUCGGGUAACACCUGACCUUGCCAUCCCUCCUCGCUCUAUCACCUAGCAUCAGGUAGCUUAGGGUGCCUCGAGCACUCAUGAUUAUUGGAGCAAAUUAUUAUUUCUCUGCUGCUUCUGAGAGCUGGAAGAAUAAUUAUACACUGGGGGAGGGAAGUAUGGAAAAAAAAAUAAGGGGCAGGAUUGGGGCAGAGAGAGGACAACAUUAAAAAAAAAAGUAACUUAAAGAAAAAAUGGAUGAGUUGGAGAGUAGGGUGUCAUUCUUUUUGUUUCGGUCUGUUUUUAAUUUUCUGAUAAUUACUAUUUGUGUGGUUGGGGAUAAGGAACUAUCUGCCUUGUACUUUUGUUUCUGUUUCUGUAUGGCAAACUUCAUUCUUAUUUUUAAUGGCUUUUCAAGCUGUGAAGAAACUUUAUCGAGUAUCCAGCAGCAAGAGCAGAGCCAAGACUGGAGAACAGGUCUUUCUUGCUCCAAGACUUGCCCUGAUUCGCUGCCUCGGUGGCUGUCUCCCAGCUGAAAAGCUACUCUCCAGUUUCACAGAUGUGCUUGUUGAUGAAACCACACAGAUAAUCUAUUGCUUUCACGUGCCUUCACUGUACUCUAUUUUAGUGUUUGGUACAAAAAAGAAACUUACUGUCUGGAUUCAGCAUAACCUAGUCUGCCUCUGUGAUAUGAUUUAUUUGCAAAGGGAUCAGAACAUAGACUCCCUUCGAUCUUUUAACCUUCUAGGAAGGCCAACCCCUUUGGAAAAAAAUAGUAUUUAAGGCAGUGGUAAAGAGAUUAUCUGGUUAUUUGGUAAAAUAGUCAACCAUAAUAUUCUACAAAAAGAACUCUAAUCCAAUGACAACCCAUAGAAAGAAACAGCAACAGAACAAUGGAAGUAUGUGUGAUCCUUUUAAAGACUUGUGUCUGAGGAGGACGGGAAGGCUUUUGAGAUCCUGGGAGAGGAAAAGAAUAUCAGAGCUGAAAAGGAUCUUUGUGAUCCUUAAAGCUGCUUGAAGGUUGGGAAGGAACAAAUGAGACCAUACCCAUGUAAUAAAACUAAGGUGAUCAUACUUCUCCCACAGAGCCUGUUUGGUAACCAAGAAUGAGUAAGUGACUCAAGAAUUUAAAAAUUUAGUAAAAGAAGAAGGGAUCCAACCUACAAAUUCCCCUCCUCUCUCUCCUUCCCUUGUGCUUUGUGUCCCCAGGUUCUUUGUAACUUAAAUAAUUAAUAGUUAAUAGAAAGGUAACUGCUACUCAUGCUUUUGCCCUUGUGGCAACCUUGAAGUGAGGCUCUGCAUUUCCGUGUGUUUCCCUCAACAGAAAUUCACUCCACAACAGAGAUUGUACUGAAGAUUUAAUUUAUUUUUUAUUAUUUUUAAGUUUUAAUUUUUAAAAAAUAUUUUAUUUUUAAGUAACCUCUACACCCAACGUGGGGCUUGAACUCACGACCCAGAGAUCAAGAGUUUCCCUGCUCCACGAACUGAGCCAGCCAGGCACCCCUGUAUUUUUAAAUUUUAAUGUUAAUUUCAGUGUAAUUAACCUACCGUGUCAUAUUAGUUUCGGUGCAAAAUGGAGUGAUCGGACAAUCCUCUACGUUUCCCAGCGCUUGUCAAGAUAAGCUGUACUGAAGAUUUUAUCAGGAAAACUGAAGAGGGGAUUUACAUCUCACAACGUUCAGACUUCACUUCUCAAUUUGCUGUCAAGCUCUCUCCUCUCAAUUUUAUUCUCAGCUGUUGGCCUUUGUAUCUUUUAAGCCUUCCACAGAGUCGUUUCUCAAAGUUAGUGAAUUCUAACCCCCAUCCCCAUGACUCUUUUGCAGAAAAAUUUAGCUAUUUCUCACCUCUCUCAGUCCUUCGCACCAGCCACCCACAGCACCGUGGGCACUCAGCCUUAGAUUAGGUUUUAUCAGAGCAUUCCUCCUUAAAAUGCACAUCUCUGCUCCUUGCAAGGGAUUCAUGUAAAACUGCUAAGGAAAAUGAGAUUUUCUUUGCAGCGCCACAGGGACAUAAUUUAUAAGGGAGCAAUCAAUGUCUGGCAACAUUUACCAUCUGCUUCGGAUUUCUUAGUUUUUAGGUUACUUGCUGACUUCUCCAAAGCUAGAGGUUGGGCUUGGUGGCCGUGGAGAUAAAUCGACUCCUGUCUGAUCACUUUUAGAGGAUGACAUCAGUCCUUUCCUCACUGUUGAGUGUUCGCAAAGAAUUCUGAGUGAUAUUUACUCCAGUAGCUGGGAGAGAAAAUGACCUUCUGUUCUGUAAUUUCUCCAUCCAUGGGGAGUGGCCAACCACCUUUCUUUCCUUCUCUUUUUCAGGGGCUACCCUCCUUGGAAUUUCCCCACUGUCUCUCAUGGGGAUCAUGAACUUUGGCUUUCCCUGUGAUGCGAAUUCCUUUAUGACCACACUAAAUCUCAGACUCUAAGAGCUUAGAAUUACUGUGUUAAUUUUCAGAUUUUGAUAUUAUUGGUUGCUUAUCCUCUUGGAAACACUAGAGAGUCUCCUGCAUAUGGCCCUUGGGAACUCCAAGAUGUUUGCUCCAAAGUCGUCUUGUGAAAAUUCUUUCCCCCUCGACAGUAACCCACCCUCUUGGAGUUUUAUGUUAUUUCACACGAAUGGUACUCACUAAGAGUCACGUUUUCUGAUGUGAAAAUCAUGCUUGACGUAUACCUGACAUGUACCAGACUAUCCAAGAUGUUUGUUAAAUACAUCUGGAAAGCUCAGCAUAUGUUGUUGGGUUUUAGACCCAUGUAAGGAGCGCCUUCUCAGAGGCCAUUGCAUUUCCCUGCUCAUCAUUUGUCUUCCUGAUUUCUGUCACUUUUCUCUUCCCCUUCUGACUCACCUGUGAUAUUCUUUGAUCACCUCGUCACUAUUUGAUUGGUGAUUCUGCUCAAGCCCAAGAAUUUUGCCCCCUCUUUCUCAACUUAUUGGUUUCUAUGGUGCAUCUUCCUUUUCAAGAUUUCUUUCUAGGUCAGACAUGUCCCCUCACCAUUCUUCCUCUGAUUUGACGUAUGUCACCUCCUAAGGCAUAGCAGCUGCCAUAUGCCAUCCCCUCCCCGUGCACCUGCUCCCUCCCCACCAGACCUUCCAGUAGCUACGGCUGCCCAGUAAUUCCAUGUCCUCCUUCUCACUGGGCUUCAUUUUGAUCCUUGUCAUUCAAGGGGUAACCGUGCAGUGAUCUUUCCCCUUCUCUGUCCACUGAGUUCAUGUACAACUUACAAUCCAAACAGUUUCUGGUUGUUGGCUUGCCUGACUGUAACCUCUGCUAUUUAGUCUUGCUGUCUGUCCCUUCCUCCAGAUACUCCCGGUCAUCUUUCAUCUCUGGGGUGGUCAGUAGUCACCCCAAGUUGUUUCCUUUUCUUUCUUUCCUUUCGUUCCCUUCUCAUGAUUUUUUUGAUCAUUCUUUAUUCUUUUUUUUUAAUUUUGAAUAAUCAUGGAUGUGUAAAAAGUAGCAAUGAGAGCAAAGAUAGCCCAGACCCCGUACCCUUUUCCCAGUCCCCCCCACGCUCACAUUGUACAUAAUUGGAGUACGAUAUCAGAACCAGGAAAUGGGUGUUGGUACACGGCAUGGGAGGAGUUCUAUGCCAUUCUAUCAUAUGUGUAGAUUCAUGGAACCAUCAACACGCAGAGCUAUUCUAUCACCGCGGAUAUCUCCUUCAUGCUACACGUUUUUAAUCAUACUCACCCACCAUCCCUGCCCCUAUGACAACUGCUAAUCCAUUUCCCAGUUCUGUAAUUUUGCCAUUUUGAGAGUGCUGCCUAAACGCUGUUGUAUCGUAUGUGACCUAUUGAGACUUGCUUUUUUCUCAUUCAGCAUAAUGCCCUUGCAGUCUGUCCCAGCUGUUGUUUGUAUCGAUAGGUGACCCUUUUUUAUUCCCGACUAGCAUUCCAUGGCGUAGAUGUACAUUGGCCCAUUGAAGGCCAUUUUGAUUGUUCCUAGUUUUUGCCCAACAAAUAAUAGUUUCUCCCUUUUUGUAUUUUUCUUUCAGGCUGCUACUUACUUAUAGCAGAUGUUUGCAGGAAAAGAAAACUUUGUGUAAGGGAAGACUUACCCAUUGGUUCUUAUAACUAAUGGAGACCCGUAGGUAUAACCUAGAGUUAUUGACAAUGUAGAUAAACAGUUUUCUUUUCGGAGAUAGGAUUGGUUUUUUGUCUUGGCAUCUGGACUUAAACCUUCCGGUCCAAUUCUUGUUUGUCAGCAAAUACCCUGUGUGGGGUGAAUGCACUCGCCUUCGCCUCCACAGUGGUGUUCCAAUAUAAAUUUUGAUCACAAACAAAAAUGAGGUUUCGUUAUUUUAAGUUAGGAUGUUAAUUUUAAAUGACUACAUGGUUACAAGGGCUUUGGUGCCUGUUCAGGAAAGCCUUCAAGUUAUUUCUGGCAAAACAGAUUGAAACUAGUGGCCUUUAGAACUCAGUACUCAAGGGAAACAAGGCAAGCUGCGUUUGACCCGAAGGUGGGGUCACCCAGUGGCAUUUGCUAAAGGAAAAAAUUUGUAGGCUUAUUUUCCAAAUGAGUUUAAGGUUCAGUAUUUUGUUAGCUCUGCAUGUGUUUGAGAGGGAACUCCUGGACGCCGGUGGGUAGGUUCAUCUUGGUUCUAGUAAAUGAGUGGAUUGGCCUGACAUUUUUGGCAUGCGUCAAUGAAGGAUGACAUAGGGUUUCCCUGCUGUGAGUAACUUGGCUUCAUUUUAUGUUUGAAGAUUUCACAUAUUUGCAUAAUGUCCCAGUUGAGGUGAUUAUAUGGCAGAGGAAUAAAAGUGUAAAUAUUCAAAGGUUAGCGGACACUUGAGAGUCUUUCAGAGCGAAAGGGGAUUUAACACAUGUGAAACAGAAGUUUGGACUGGCACAUUAAGAUUUUUUUUGGGGGGGGUUCCUUAAAGUUCGCAGGAAAUUUAAAGUUUUGAUCCUUUAAAACUGUCAUCAGAGCCUUCUCUCUUUUAUAAAGUUUCUAGGUCUUGGGGACAUUCAAUUUUGGUUAACACAUUGGAGAAAGUAAGAUCCCACUCCCUAUCCCUCCCCCACCUCCCCACCGCUUCCCUCCCCUAAAUUUGAAUGCUCCGUAACACCUGGGAGAUUAGAGUGCCUCCUAUUCAAGUAAACUGUAUCAGGAAGAACUGAAAGCACUUUGUAGCUUUAUCUACUGAAGCCCUAAUUUCCUUCCAGGUAGGCAGAGGAAGGUGGAUAGGCCCUGUGGAUCUCUGCAUUGAGUGACGAGCUCUGAGUCACCAAAGUGAGUCACCGGCAAAUGGGGAUGACGCUUUCCACCCAGGCUGAUGUUCUCAGACUGGCGUUUUCAGCAUUUGUUUUUACCAUAUCCCAAGUAAGUCUCGUGAGAUGACUCUCAGAUUCACAUGAAAGUUUUGAACGACUUUUAACCCAAAAAGCUGAAAAGGAAAAAACAAAACCGCCAUUGGAAGGUUUCUUCGGAGGCGUUCUAGAAAAGUCCAUCCCGAGGCAGCGUUGUAGCUCAAGAAAGUGUGGCACAUUUUUUUCCAGUGGUCUCUCUUUCAAAAAAAGUUGCUGAUCAGAGUUCUUGGGCUCGCCUUUAGUAAUACUGUGAACAUUGCAGUAAUCAGAAUUCUGCAUUAAUCAGUCUUUCUGCGCAUCUGCAACGUGAAGACUGAUACUGGUAAUGAUGACUCAGGCGUGAAACGUCUUGGCUCUGAAUGACCGAAAACCAGAUUUCACCGAGCUUGUUGCAGUGUUGGUGUUUACGCCUGCCACCAUAUUUGAACCCUGUAAAGAGUGAGAGCAUCCAUGACUUGCCACGGUGGCAGUCUAAUGAGGACGGUAUUUCAUUCGCUGGUGCUUCUGGGUCGUGGAGUUUCCAGUUAUAUCCUCCCAGGCAGUGGGGCUUCUAAGCACACAACCAUCCAGAGGCCUGCUGGGGCCUGGCUUUUAUCACACCAAGCAUUUCAAAAACAACGGUGGGGAUCUGAGAGAGCGAUAGUGCUAGAAGCUGAGAAGUGGGACAGAGCAACGGUAAGAAAGUUUAGCCAGCGCCUAUUAUGUGCCAAGCACCGUGCGAGGGGCUUUGAUCCAUGUUGUUUCAUUUGUCACUGAGACACGACAACUGACAAGCGACGGGAGCGUCACCAGGGGAGGUCUGGGGUGGUGUGGUUGAGGAGCAAAGCCUCAGAAGACACGUGUAGAGGUCAGGGUGCUUGCGGCGGCAGCUACUAGAACACGGGAAAGUGGCCUAAGUGAUACGGACAUAUAUUGACUCAGACGAGGUCCAUCCAGUGGCUCAGUAUGAUCAUAAGAACCCAGGUUCUCACCAUCUCUGUCUGAAGGCCCUAGGGAAGAUGCCUUUAGAAGUCCUUCCUCACCUUUUCCAGCUUCUAGUAAUUCCUUGGCUUGUGGCUGUUCAACUCCAAUCUCUGCCUCUGUCUUCACAUGGCCUUCUUCUCUCCAUGUCUCUGUCUCCACGUGCUGUCCAUUUCUGUCUCUCAUAAGGACACCUGUCAUUGGAUUAGGACCCUCCAGACAAUCCAAGAUGAUCUCAUCUCAAAAUCCUUAACUUAAUUGCAGCUGCAAAGACCACGUCCCCACAUAAAGUUACCUUCACAGGUUCUGGGAUGUGAACACAUUUUUUUUCGAAGGCCACCACUCAGCCCACUACGAUGGCCUCAUUUUUUUCUCAGAUGGUGGGUAUGGACAUAUCUGACAAGGAUGGAACUUCCUGUCAUCAGUUCUUGGCUUCCAACCCAAGGAUUGGCGUUAUCACCAAAAUGAACUGCUUACCAAAAGACGAGUUGCAGGUUCCAGAAAGGACAGACUCUAUCCCACAGAAUCAUCUCGUUUCUUGCUUUAUUGAUUGCCCCAUGCAACGUACAUGUAUGGGAAAGAGCUUCUGAGAUAUACCAGUGAGUGACCGUCAAUUUCUUUAGAUUGUAUCUCUAAGUGUUCUUGAAUCUUUUGUACCCCUUCCUUAACGUCUCCACCGCCUUACCAAAUCCCCAUCAUUUGUCACCUGGAUUACGUCUUACUUGUCCCUAUUCUCCCCAGCCUCCUUUCUCCGUAUUGCUGCCUGAGGAGCUGCCUGAAAUUCCAGUUGGGCGUUUCCUGCCUGGUGCUAGAUUGCUUGUUUGUCCCUGCAAAGCCAUCCUUCCACACCUGGCCUUUUUCCUCCAAAGCUCCUUCUCCCUCUGGCUUCUGGUUGGGUUUGGCAAUGGGGGUACUGGUGAGAUGAGGUGGGAGGCGUGGGAGCAAGGAGAGGGGCCAUUCGUCUCCCUCACUCCUUCCCCGGAGGUCCUUGCCCCCGGCAUCCCUCAGUCGAUGCCCCCAUUAGGAGAAUUCUCACAUGGCUGCCUUCCAAGUUUUAAUAACUGUCUCCCUCCUCACCCUUCCAGGCCCAAGGAUGGCAACAGGACCUCUUGUGGUUUCCCGACGCCCUGCCUACACCUUUGAACAUAACCCCAUCGUCAACUCUUCUCGAAUUACCCAUCUCAGUGUUUCUUAGCCUGCACCAUGACUGAUACAGCCGGGCUGUAAACACGUCACUGACUCUACCUUGCCCAGAGGAGGAAGCAACAUCCCUCAGGAGGGGGGCAAGAUUCCACCCUUGCCACAUCUUGAGACACGCUUUCCGCACGCUGGCGGACGUGUGGUUUCCUGAACGCAAGGUGUUCUUUUUCUUCUUGGAGAUUCUGUAACUGAUGAUUUCUUUCCUGGCUUAGCUGCCUGGACAGUGUCUUUUCUUCCUUCAAGACUGUUCAAGGAUCACCUGUUGAUUUUUUCUGGCUUUCCUAGGCAGGAUGGGCUGCUUCCUCUCCUAUGCUCCCUUAUCACAUGAUAUGCAUGCCCAUUAAAGCUUUUUUCGUUGCUGCGAGUUUUUGUUCCUAUGUCUGCUUUCCAACCAGUCUUGGAAUCCUCUGAGUGUAUUCUGUUUUCCUUUGUUCUCCGAGUACCUGCUGUUGUCCCUGGUGGGCUUAAUAAACAUAUUUUGAAUGACUAUAUUUUUCUUUAUUCACUGUAUUAC
RNAcentral lists this long non-coding RNA (13962 nucleotides) under Lynx pardinus (Iberian lynx). The record is from RNAcentral. Lineage: Eukaryota; Metazoa; Chordata; Mammalia; Carnivora; Felidae.